RNAcentral lists this ribosomal RNA (539 nucleotides) under Zafrona isomella. RNAcentral's name for it is "partial small subunit ribosomal RNA". The record is from RNAcentral. Lineage: Eukaryota; Metazoa; Mollusca; Gastropoda; Neogastropoda; Columbellidae.
GACCAAGAGACUAAGUUAUAUGUUUAGGUAAAAAGAUGGUUAAAUUAGAGAAAGUUUAGUGAUUUUCCAUAUAAGGGUAAAAUCUGUAUAUGGAAAAUUAAUUUCGAAAAGACUAAAUCGUUGAAGCCAUGAUAGUUUUGAGGGAAACUGGGAUUAGAUACCCCACUAUUCAUAAUUGUAAAUUGAUAGUAAUUUACCAGAGUACUAUGAAUAAAUAAAAUUUAAAACUCAAAGAACUUGGCGGUGUUUUAGACCAAUUAGGGGAACCUGUCUCGUAAUCGACAAUCCACGUUAUAUCUAACCUUUUUUUGUAGACAGUUUGUAUACCGUCGUCGUCAGGUAACUUUUAAAAACAAAGAAGUUGGCAUAAAUAAUAAGAUUAAUUAAGACGUCAGAUCAAGGUGCAGCUUAUAAAAAGGAGAGGAUGGGUUACAAUUAUAAAAUAAUAAUUACGGAUAGUUUAUUGAAAAAAGCUUUAAGGAGGACUUAAAAGUAAUAUUAUAAUAUAUAAAUAAUUUGAAUUAGGCUCUGAAACGUGC